GAUGAAGAAACGCAGCGAAAUGCGAUAAGUAGUGUGAAUUGCAGAAUUCAGUGAAUCAUCGAAUCUUUGAACGCACAUUGCGCCCCUUGGUAUUCCAUGGGGCAUGCCUGUUCGAGCGUCAUUUGUACCUUCAAGCUUUGCUUGGUGUUGGGUGUUUGUCUCGCCUUUGCGUGUAGACUCGCCUUAAAAUAAUUGGCAGCCGGCGUAUUGAUUUCGGAGCGCAGUACAUCUCGCGCUUUGCACUCAUAACGACAGCGUCCAAAAGUACAUUUUACACUCUUGACCUCGGAUCAGGUAGGGAUACCCGCUGAACUUAAGCAUAUCAAUAAGCGGAGGA
RNAcentral lists this unclassified non-coding RNA (337 nucleotides) under soil metagenome. RNAcentral describes it as "partial contains 5.8S ribosomal RNA, internal transcribed spacer 2, and large subunit ribosomal RNA". The stretch from base 1 to 121 matches the Rfam family "5.8S ribosomal RNA", at positions 35 to 154 of the family's 154-position model. The record is from RNAcentral.